ACAGGGCCGCCCUACUACAAGGCAUUAUUUGGCCUCAAAUGUCAACAGUGUGAGGUUGAGAAACGUUGGUCUAGACUGCAUGUGCAGUCUAGGGGGCUGCACGUGCGGACCCCAGGGUGUCCGUCCUGCACGGGUGUUUCCUCCUGACUUUGGUCCUGUCUUUGACUGGUGGAGUCCGAGGGAGAGGCUGGGGGCCCCCCAGCGCUCCACAGCUUCCUCUUGUGUUGGCAGAAGCAAGAAGACCACCGCCUCUGAGGAGGUGGUCAAGCCGAGCACAGCAAGCGACAGGUGGAUGAUAAUGGUCGGAUGUCAAAGGGACCCAGGAGCCAGCUGAAAGAGCUCCCAAUGGCCAAAAUGCAACAAGAUGAGGAAACUGAGGCCCAGCGAGGCUAAGUUACCCAAGGUAAUACCCAAGGCUCCAAACUCUUGACCGCUGCACCCAGGAUGCCCCCAGAGCACCUCUGGCCAAAUUGCAGAAGCCAACAGCCUGUCCCGUGCUGGCAGAGAGGCGACAACGGCACUAGGCCUGGCUUCCAGGGUCUGGCUUCUAGAAGCCAUCGGACUCCAGAAGUCUGCACAGGCCACUUCCUGUUUGUGUGACUUUGGGAAGAUCUCUUUACUUUCCUGAGCCUCAGUUUCCUUAUUUAUAAAAAGGGCAUGAUGAUCCCACUUCCUCUGUUUCUACUCCUCAGGGCUAUUGCCGGCUCAGGCAUGGAAACUGUCAAGCGUGCACAUAGGCAGGAAGUGGAGGAGGGAAGGGGUGCAGAGUGAACAAGAUGCAGGGAGGCAGCGUGCGGGCCAUCGUGAGAGAGCUGUGUUCAGGGGACUUUGGGGUCUGAGGAGCGGGGUGGGGUGGGGAUUCAGAGUUAGUCUUGGAGGCUUUACUGUCAGCUGGCUGAACUGGGAUGGUAGCCACAGUGAGGUGGGAGGGCGGGCUGUGAAGGAGAGGCCGCCGCAGGGAUCCAGGACCACAGCAGGCUGUCUCCAGCUUCUCAGCUGAGCCCUAGGCUCCUCGGUGAGUCUGAGAAAGAGUUCCCCAGGACAGGCCCUCCGGGUAGGAAAGGGGUCCAGUGGGGUGUAGGGACUUACUGGCAAAUUUUUGUCAAUGUCCACAAGAGGGAAGGAUGAUACAGGAGGCACGCAUUGAAUUGCUCUUUCCAGAAGCCCCCAGGAAAUCAGAAUACCAGCUUCUCAUUUGAUGGGCCCCCCCCACCCCAAUUCACCGCAGCCAGCUCAUCUGAGCCUCCAACAGUCAGGAGGGAGGUCGACUCUUCUCUCCCCUACACUCCAUCUGCUCUUUCUAACAUCCUCAGUCAUUUAUUCUCCUCUGUGACACUCUUGUCAGUAUUUUACACUAUACUGACCUCUUCCUUGCUCCAAAAAAGUUCUUUUUCUGCCAGGACUGCACUCCUUCUUGGCCAACCCUUUAACCGAUUUUGUAAUAGGAGAGAAAGGGGCAGGGCACAACUUUGGAAAGACUGAUAUGGCCCAAAGACACAACAUAAACCAAUUAGAAUCAAACGGGACCAAGUUGGCAGACAAGACCAGGCCUUGAUCCUCAAUCAGCAAGUGAAAUGACACACCCAGAGACGCCAUGCCAGUUCCAAGGCACUGUUAAAGGACCAAGGAGUGGGCGGUGGCCCAAAUCCUGGAAAUCUCCGCCCCUUCCCCAAAAUAGUUGGAAUAAUCCUCUCACUCAUUAGCAUAUGAAAUUACCCAGCCUACUAACCGAACCAAAUUUUGGGCCACACUCGUUCUCUGCGAUGGUCCACACUGUGUCUGUGGAGUGUGGUUCUCACUGUAUCUGAAUAAAUCCACAUCUUACCUAUCACUUUGUCUCUCGCUGAAUUCUUUCUGCAAUGAGACAUCAAGAACCCAAGCUUCAUUAGGUCCUGAAAGCAGGUACUGUGGGUUUUGGCUGGGUUUGAGUCCCAGCCACGUGGGUUCAAGUCCCAAGCAGGGUUUUGGCUGUGUUCAAGUCCCAGCUAGUUUCCUAUCUUCUUUUCCACACCCUCCAGAUUCUCUUCUUGGUCUCCUUCUUUCCUUUUCUUUCUUUUUGCUUUGAAAGAAUUCUCCUUGAGUGGUCUUCUCAGCUACAGUGUGAAUCCCCACCAUGCACUGAUGGGUUCUGAGUCUUCAACCCCCCGUCCUUCCAACUACAGUCCUGGCACAACUAAAACUAAACUCAUCUCUGCCCCCACCCACUGCCUCUUCAGUCUCAAUGUCAUCACAACCAGAUAGGGUUCUGCUUUUGGAGUUGUUGAAAUGAACCUGGCUGGCUUAAGCAGAGAGAGGGGAUUUAUUGGAAGGGUGAAGCGACUCAUCAGCUCGAAGGAAAGGCUCAAAAUCUAGGCUCAGAAGUGACGAAAGUUGGAGCAGCUACAGGGAGCUGAGCAGUGGGUGCAGGUGAAUGGCUCCCUCAGGGCACAAAGACUGGAGAAUGGAGAAUA
Long non-coding RNA from Cervus elaphus (red deer), 2450 nucleotides. RefSeq lists it as uncharacterized. The record is from RefSeq and is a predicted model, not a curated record. The transcript is spliced from 3 exons. NCBI's taxonomy places the organism in Eukaryota, Metazoa, Chordata, Mammalia, Artiodactyla, Cervidae.